GUUCUCUGUCUGUGGACUCCAAGCCAAGUUGCCUGUAAGAAGUUGUCAAGUCCCAAAACUCUAUUGUUGCCAAUUCCCUAAUAGAAAGGAUACUUGCAGUGUGUCUUCUGAGCAGAGAAGUGGAGGAGGAACAGAGGACUUAGCCUCUGUGGGGACUGGGACAAAAGAGAGGGUGGGGAGAUGGCGAUACGGAAGCCUUUGAAUCUUUAUCAAAUAAUGGUUUGAGGGUAGAGACCAUUUUUAGGAUGCCUGCUACGGCUUCUUGUCCCUCUUGUCUCAGUUUAGGAAAUCCCAUCAAGCCCCAUCACUAGGCUCCAGAUAUUCUUUAGUGCCUCAUGUCCCCAAAUUACUUCUCUUGUCUGACCUCAGUUUGUACCAACAGGCCCCUCUCUUCCAUGUCCUGAACUAGCACACUAAGAAAAAAUGAUCUGCUUCUAAAAGUUAUAACCUUUCUCUCCUCUUUUCUUUCCAGUAUAUAAGAUUUCACCUCUGUUCUUAACGGUGGUGUCUUCUGAUCAUAGAAUAUCAUGUAGAAUUUGCCUUUGUUCUUCACGAUGGUGGCUUCUGAGCAUAGAAUAUGGUGUAGCUCUCCAUUUAUUUCGUUCUUUUUAAAUUCCUCACUACAGCAUUCUGCAGUUUUCAGUGUACAGAUAUUACAUACAUUGUGUUAUAUUUAUCUCUAAAUAUUGCAUUUUUGGUGCUACUGUAACUAGUAUUUUGUCAUUUCUAUUUUGAAAUUUUUAUUGCCAAUUUUUUUAAGUUCUCAUCCUCCUCCCCACUGGCUUCUCUCUGGAUUCUGAUGUCUUGGCUGACUUCGGAUUCUGUUGAAGUUGCCUUUCACUGCCCAGGAGAGGGUGGUCCCUGGAUCAGACAGUGCAUCAGCCCAGGGUCUCACUGCCAUCGGGAGAAGAACUCAUAUGUCUCCAGAAAGGACAGUGAUGGGGGCUGCGGACCUCUCCUCCCAGAGGAAGGUGAGAACCCUCGCUCUGAUAACAGUGGGAAAGUUGCUUCUCCUUCCUUGCAUGAUACUUCUCCUCCAGCCCCUGGACAUCAGACUCCAGGUUGUUCCUUUGGCUUUCAAGCUCUGCAUCUUGUACCAGCGGCCACCCAGGGGAUCUCAGGCCAUCGGUCUCAGACUGAGGGCUGCACUGUCAGCUUCCAUGGUUUUGAGGCUUUUGGAAUUAAACUGUGACACGCUACCACCUUCCCUGGAAGCCACACGGGCAACAGAGCAAGACUCUGUCUCAAAAAACAAACAAACAACAACAACAACAACAAAAACAAAAAAACAGCAGAGUCUUUUUCUAGUAAAAAUGAAAGGACCCUGCAUUGAGGCCAUGAAGGGAUGUGAUACGUCAGAUGCUGGGAUUUGGACACGAGUGUCUCUGGGACCCUGCCCAUUGUUACGAGGCAUCUCUGAGUCGGCCAGCAGAUGUUCUGCUGGAAUGCAGGGAGAGAAUAUGGGUCUGUCUAGAGGGCCCCAAGAGGUCACACCUGCAUUCUAAGCCAGGGACAAGUGAAGAAGCAGAGACGGGAAUGUGCCACGGCUGGAGGUCAGGGCUUGUUGAGAGGAGAGCAAUACAGGGCAUGGGCUCUGUGACAGUGGAUUCAGAAAUGGCCCAUGAAGCCUGGAGAAUAUUCUUUCCUGGGAUGUUUAUGCUGGAUUGAAGGUAGCUGGUAUAGGGCUGAGCAGACAAUCUUCCCGGGGUUGCAGUCUAUGAAGUUAUUCAGAGUCCCCUGCUUAACGUAGGCUCUGCUGCCACCACCUUGAAAUUCUCCAUAAAUUCUGAACAGCAGCAGAGCGUGUCUGGUGUAGGGAGAGAGGCUUCCCACUUUCUCCCCGUGCUGUUGUCAGGUUCCCCUGCUGGGCCAAGCACAGAGGUUGCUGCUGCCAAUGCUGAUGGUCUUAGCAUCUUAGCUCUCCAGGAUCAAUGCUCCUUUUCCACUUCCUCAACCUCUGGGGUCUGUACAGGGACUCUGCUGUUUACAAAAUGGCAAAAAUGGCCUGUCCAUCUGAGAGAUUAGUGACUUUAACCAUGCAAAGGGUGGCUGCCAAGGUUUUGUGGACAAGAGCUGUGUGGUCAAGUGUAACCAGUUGGCUUCGUGGAAGAUCGUCUCUCCUGACGGGGCUGGCGUGAGGCUGUGCUCAGUUGCUCGACGGGCAAAGCCUAUCCCAAAGGUCUCCCUCAGUGUCACAGAGUUCAGAUAACUGGGACAAUCUGUUACCAUUCAGAUGGACACCUUCCGAUACAAAAGUCCGAGGCUUCCAUUUCUCUCAGUGUCAGACAUAGGGGAUGUCUGGCUUUUUGUUCUUCUAGAGCUCUCCUCUGAAAAUGGUCAGAUAGGGGAAAAGGAGCAAGUAAUGUUCUCCCCUGACUUGAGCUACAGUUUAUACGAUGUGGAGGUAGGUGACUUGGAUAUUUACAUCGUCUCUCUCUGUCCUCUAAUUAUGCACCAGAGAAAGCGAGUGAGUGAAUGCUGGCCAGCCUGUUCUAAUUCUUCAGUAGGGUGUGCAGCUCAUCCUCUCUGGACUAAGUUUUUAGAAAGUGAAUUCUUUUAAUACCACAGCUCACAUUUCUCCAUUGUAAGACUGAAUCUGUUCCUGUCCCAAACAGGUGAAGAGUAGUGUGGAUCAUUCCAUUACUCAUACAAAAGACUCAUGCACCCCCAUCGGAGUCUGAGAGCCCCAGAGACUCACAGCCGGGUGUUCUUGUUCCUUAGACACCGACGGCAAACAUCUCAGCUGAGACUGUGACUCAGGAUUCCUUCCAACAAGUUUUGACAUGUUGCUUCACAUUUUCCUUUAGGCAAGUGGGCAAUUAGCUGAGCCAGCCGUACUGCACACAGGCCUGUGGGCUUCAGCAGGUGGCGGGGACAGAACACGGGUCCAGACAUGGGGCAGGUUGGGCUUCCACACCGUAAGAAAACACAUGGAGCUCAGGAUUGAACAAUAUUUGCUCCAUUCAUCCACAGGGAAAGGUCUCUUCUCAUCGCAAUGGCGGAGAAGGUGCACGACUUGGCCUCUUGCUCCAAAGGCAGAAGCACUCUGCCCGCCAGCGCGAGGCCACACCCAUGUGUGCUGAAAGUGCAACCACAGUCAUCAACGUCUUCUUCUAUUCCACCUAAGUAAGGCUCAACGACAAAUUGAAAUCUUAUUGCAAUCGGUAGACAAUAGGAUUUUAAAAGGUCUGAGAAGAGGAUUACCAUAUCGUUACGAUAUUACAGUCUGAUUUAAACAGUUCUGUUUUCUUGUAAAUUGUUUUCUUGCUCAUGAAAUAUCUAUUUUACAUGUGGUACAAACCCCAACUGGGAUUGAAAAACAACAACAACGAGAAUUUGACAUUCCUCAAACAGUACUUUCUUAUUAACCAACAACAACAAUUAGGAAAUGUUUCAAGUAACUUUAAUCUCUGUGCUUGAAUACACAUUGUUCAUUUUCCUAUGUCAACAAAUACAGGCUGAUGUUUUAGAACAGAUUUCCAUAUGCUAAUUUAUCUCUUUCCUUUUCUGAAAGAUUGUCUUUCCUGACUGUUAAUUCCAGCUGACGGAAUGGUUUUGCCUUUUAUUCUCUGCAAAAUAAUGCACUGUUGCAAAGUGAUUUCUAAUAAACAGUAUCUAGGAAAGAGCUACAAUACUGAUUGUUUUUGACAACCAAAAAUGCAUUAUUAAUGAAAUAAUGUCAUUGGCAGCAUCCUGGCCACAAGCUGAUUAUUUACAGUGUAUUUUUCUGUUCAGAAUUGUGGUCCUAUAGUACAGCCACUAUGGAAAACAGUGUGAUGAUCUCUCAAAAAACUAAAAAUAGAGCUACCACACAAUCCAGCAAUCCCACUACUGAAUAUUUAUUCAAAGGAAACGGAAUCCAUAUGGCAUCCUCCUGUUUAUCACAAACUAUUCACAAGAGUAAAGAUAAGAAAUCAACCGAAGUGCCUAUCCA
Molecule: long non-coding RNA, 3934 nt
Organism: Papio anubis (olive baboon)
Lineage: Eukaryota; Metazoa; Chordata; Mammalia; Primates; Cercopithecidae
Source: Ensembl